Long non-coding RNA from Alexandromys fortis (reed vole), 4836 nucleotides. RefSeq lists it as uncharacterized. The transcript is spliced from 3 exons. The record is from RefSeq and is a predicted model, not a curated record. Lineage: Eukaryota; Metazoa; Chordata; Mammalia; Rodentia; Cricetidae.
UUUGUUUUUUUUUGAGACAGGGUUUCUCUGUGGUUUUGGAGCCUGUCCUGGAACUAGCUCUUGUUGACCAGGCUGGUCUCGAACUCACAGAGAUCCGCCUGCCUCUGCCUCCCAAGUGCUGGGAUUAAAGGCGUGCGCCACCACUGCCCGGCUGUUUCCUCAUUUCUAAGAGAGGUAUAAUAAGAGUACUUCUAUCUCAAAUGUUCAUUUUUCGUGAAAACUAGCUGACUCACUUAAAUUUGAGAACAGUGCCUGACACCCUUAGCUCAUGGGACAGUAAUAAGGCCUACGCAAAGAGGGGCUAGUAGUUAAAAAUGAUUACAGAAUUAAACAAAAGCAGGUAAUGUAUUGUAGGUAAAUUUAUUGUUGCUGUGCCUUAUGAACUCAAAAGUGGUGCACGGUCCAUCCUGUGCUCUGGCACGGUCCAUCCUGUGCUCUGGAGUGACUUAAUGAUUGUUUCACCUGUCAAAUACUCAGAAUAAGAGCACAUGAAAUCAGUCACUCACAAAAGGGAUGCAUGCCAAACACUGAUCUUAAGGACAGUGUUGGUAAAACACUGGGCGGUAUUGGCAUAAAACAGAGGUAUUCAUCAGUGGAAUUGAAAUGAGGGCCCAGAAAUAAAUCCACAUACCUGUGGGCAACUGAUUUUUAAUAAGGAAGCUGGAAAUACACAAUAGAGAAAAAAGAAAGAAAGCGUCUUCAGCAAAUGGUAGCUGGUACUGGAUGUUGAUAUGUAGAAGAAUGCAAAUAGAUCCAUAGCUGUCUCCCUGCACAAAACUCAAGUCCAGGUGGAUCAAAGACCUCAACAUAAAGCCAGAUAAACUGAAUCUGACAGAAGAAAAAGUUGGGACUAGCCUUGAAUGCAUUGGCAUAGGAGACAACUUUCUGAACAGAAUUCUAGUAGCAUAGGCACUAAGAUUGACAAUUAACAAAUAGGACCUCUUGAAACUGAGAAACUUCUGUAAGGCAAAGGACAGUGUAAAUAAGACAAAACAGCAGCCUACAUAAUGGGAAAAGAUCUUCACCAACCCCACAUCUAACAAAUGACUGGUCUCCAAAAUACAUAAUGAACUCAAGAAACUAGACAUCAAAAAACCAGGUAAUUCAAUUAAAAAUGGGGUGCAGAUCUAAACAGAGAAUUCUCAACAGAAGAAUCUCAAAUGGCCAAAGAAUGUUAUUAAAGAAAUAUACACCAUCCUUACUCAUCAGGGAAAUACAAAUCAAAAUGACUCUGAGAUUCCAUCCAUGAGAAUGGCUAGGAUCAAAAACACAAGCAACAGCUCAAUCUGCUCAAUGAUGUGGAGCAAGGGGAACACUCUGCCAUUCCUGGUGGGACUGCAAACUUGUUCAGUCACUUUGGAAAUCAAUAUGGCAGUUUCUCAGAAAAUUAGGAAUUGAUCCCCUCAAGACCCAGCUAUACCAGUACUGGGCAUACAACCAAAGGACGAGUCACCAUACCACAUGGAGAGUUGCUCAGUUAUGUUCAUAGCAACUUUAUUCUUAAUAGCCAGAAACUGUAAACAUCUGAGAUGUCCCUUAACUGAAGAAUACUUAAAGAAAAUUUGGUACAGUUAUACAAUGGAGUACUGCUCAGCUUUUAAAAACAAUGACUUCAUAAAUUUGAAGGCAAAUGGAUGGGACUAUAAAAAAUCAUCAGACCUAGGAAGACAAACAUGAUAUGUACUCAAUAAUAAAUGGAUAUUAGCUAUGAAGUACAGGAUAACCAUGUUACAAUCCAUAGACCCCUGGGACGGGGAAAGAGAAUAAAUUUCUUAGGUGUACUGGGGAUAAGUAUGAAUGGGAACAAGAAGGAUUAGAAGUGAGGGGUAGAGGAGGGGGAAAGUACUGGGAGAGACAAGUGGAAUUGGGGGGCAUUUCUGGGGUGAGGUAGAAACCUAAAGCAAUGAAAACUCCUAGGAAUCCACGGGGGUGUGUAGUGGCAUUUCAUUUGUAUUUUAAUAAAUAAUGCUUGCCUGAACAUCAGAGAUUAAAACAGCCCCACUAGUCAGUCUUACAGACCAGGUAAUGUUAACACACACCUUUAAUCCCAGUAGCUAUACUAGUUUGCGAUAGAAACCGGGUGAUGGUGCACAUCUUUAAUUACAGAAUGAGAGAGGAUUAUAAAACAGGAGGAGACAGCUCACAGUCUCAUUCUGCGAUUCCUGGAGGCAGGAUCACCAUUUCAGACUGAGGUAGAGGUAAGAGCCAGUGGUUGGCUGUUUUGCUUUUCAACCUUCAGGUUGAACCCCAAUAACUCUCUCUGAGUUUUUAUGAAUGAUGCUUCAAGGGUGAGCCUGACAAAGGCUCCAAGGAAUGGAGGAUACCGAACCUGAACUAGUUGUCUUAUGUAGCCAGCCGGGUGUCUAGCACAAUCGUCUUCAGAGAGGAUUCUUUCAGCAGCUGACGGGAGCAGAUGCAGAGACCCACAACAGACCCGGGCAGAGCUCUGGGAAUCUUGCAGAGCAGGGCCAGAAAGGAUUGUAGGAUGCAGAAGGAUCAAAAUACCAUGAGAAAAUGGCUUAAAGAAUCAGCUAAUCAGGGUUCAUAGGGGCUCACAAACACUGAACUUACAAUCAAGGAGCCUGUAUGGGUUUGACCUAGGUCCUCUGCUAUAUGUUAUGGUUGUGAUGCUUGGGGUUCCUGUGGUACUACUAACAGUGUGAAUGGGAGCUUUCUCUGACUCUUUUGUCUACUUUUGGGACUCUUCUUCCUACGGGGUUGCCCCAUCCAGCCUUAAUAUGAUGGGAUAGGCCUAGUUUUGUGGUAACUUUAUAUGCUAUGUUUGGAUAUAGCUGGGAGGCCUAUCCUUCUAUAAAGAGAAAGGAGGAGGAGGAAAGGAUCUGGGGAAAGGAGAGGGGGAGACUAUAGCUGGGACUAACACAUGAGAGAAGGAGGCACAAAGAGGGAGCAUUUCAAGCUGACCUGAAGGAGAGUGCUCUGGACUAAGCACUCUAACACCUAUACGCUGCAAGAAAGGAGGGGCCACCGGUGGACCAGAGCCAGGACAGCUCCUGAAAGGCCUCAAUCCCGUGUCCAACCUAGCUUGUAUUCUCAUUUUAUACUGUAAAACCACAAGGUGGGGCAGACAAGCAACCGAGAUUUUACAGAAACGACCGGCUGUGAACUGGCAUGUACCCCAUGUUAUCUCCAUGUAGCAGCUCCUUCUCCAGGUCGUUCUCUUCCUGGUAGUGAGCGGAGUCAUGCUGGGUAAAGAGGCUGUACUAGCAGUGUUUUAAGUGAACCACUAAAGAAACAAUAAGUCAGUAUCUAAUAACUACUCUUUUCUACCUUAUUCUACUUUAAGACAAAGGCAUCGAGUGGGAAAGAGGCCAAGGCCUAGCUACACGUGGUCAUUGCUCUGCAACAAAGGGAAACCAAGUAACGAAUGAGCAACCAGAGACCGAAAUUCCAAAGCUAGAAAGAUGUUCAAGCACACAAUGACAAAGGAGACAGCUCUGAUUUAAAUUAACAUCCAGGCAAAUAAAGGAAGAAAAUAAGAACCUGUACUGCUUUGAUUUUUUUAAGGCCAACUUCACAAUGUUUCAUACACAGAAGGAUGGAAGAGAAUGGAAAUGAAGCACUCAAUUCUCCAAGUAGGAAUGGGCUGAGUAAACAAACCUAUUUCCAUGAUCAGGAGCAGGAGUGUUUCAGAUUUGAUGAGCUUUCUUUGAAAAGUCAUAGAGUGAAUUUGUCUUCCAGUGAUAAAUCCAUGAGACACUUCACAAAAGGGGAAAAUGAAAGGAAACUCAGGAAGAUGAGCGUUCAGUAAAGAAACAAAGCGUGCCAGUGCUGAAGUGGAUCCAAACCACACAUAUAUGAGAUAACAGAAGAAAGGGAUGCUCUUGGAAUGCUAAUGUGCGCCAUCUCAAAGGAUUCAGAUUCACAAUCAGGAUGACCAGUCUGAAGAAAAGGAUUGAGAUUUACAUUGAGAAACUGGUAAAAAUAUAGUUCACACCAAAGGAACUCUAUAUUGGAAGCCAAAAAGUAAAAGUUAGGAAGUUGACCUAAAUAGAGAAAGAAAUAUGACAAUUUGCAAAGCCAAGGGAAUAUGCUUGUUAUAGAGAGCUGCACAGAGGAGGUGGUGGCCCACACUGCAGGUCAGGAGCUGCACAGGGGAGGCGGUGGCCCACACUGCAGGUCAGGAGCUGCACAGGGGAGGCGGGCAAGGCUCACAAUGUACCUAGUAUGCUCUUUACAACAUUGAUACCAGACAUCUCUGUGUAUUCAGCACAAUGUACUAAAUAAUACAUUUUCUCUCUCUAGUGACAACUCACGGCAAAAUUUUAAAUAUUUUGACAGAUGUUUUUAAAAUUUUUAGAAAAAAUGAUAAACUCUUCCUUUGACAAUUAAGAUGUUUUUUCAGUCUCCUUUUGGGUGAUUAUUUUUAGCAUUCUGAACUAGGGAUAUAAGGCCUGCCCACACUGCAGAGAUAAUGUCUUCCAUUUCCUUCUUAUAAACAUACCAUAUGCAACUCUAUACAGGUAACAAGCACUAAUAUUUUAUUUUCAAAAUACUAUCUUUUAAACAAACUCAUUACUGUUUUAGUUUAAAAGUAUAAAUUCCCACCGGGCAGUGGUGGCACAGACCUUUAACCCCAGCACUCGGGAGGUAGAGGCAGGCAGGGGGAUCUCUGUAAAUUCAAGGCCAGUCUGUUCUACAGAGCUAGUUCCAGGGCAGCCAGAGCUAUUACACAGCAAAACCCUGUUUCAAAACAAACAAACAAAAAACAAACAAAAAAGGAAAAAGUGUAAGUUUCCAAUUUUUCCAUAAAAAUAAUAAAAGUAAACCUAAGCUGGCAUCAGGGGCUCUGCGUGUGACACGAAUGUCUACUUUUGA